Molecule: ribosomal RNA, 491 nt
Filed under: uncultured bacterium
Lineage: Bacteria
Description: partial 16S ribosomal RNA
Rfam family: Bacterial small subunit ribosomal RNA
Source: RNAcentral
GUGAACGCUGGCGGUAGGCCUAACCCAUGCAAGUCGAACGGCAGCACAGUAAGAGCUUGCUCUUACGGGUGGCGAGUGGCGGACGGGUGAGGAAUACAUCGGAAUCUACUUUUUCGUGGGGGAUAACGUAGGGAAACUUACGCUAAUACCGCAUACGACCUACGGGUGAAAGCAGGGGAUCUCCGGACCUUGCGCGAUUGAAUGAGCCGAUGUCGGAUUAGCUAGUUGGCGGGGUAAAGGCCCACCAAGGCGACGAUCCGUAGCUGGUCUGAGAGGAUGAUCAGCCACACUGGAACUGAGACACGGUCCAGACUCCUACGGGAGGCAGCAGUGGGGAAUAUUGGACAAUGGGCGCAAGCCUGAUCCAGCCAUACCGCGUGGGUGAAGAAGGCCUUCGGGUUGUAAAGCCCUUUUGUUGGGAAAGAAAAGCAGCAGGUUAAUACCCCGCUGUUCUGACGGUACCCAAAGAAUAAGCACCGGCUAACUUCGUG